GAUCAUGGCUCAGAUUGAACGCUGGCGGCAGGCCUAACACAUGCAAGUCGAACGGUAACAGGAAGAAGCUUGCUUCUUUGCUGACGAGUGGCGGACGGGUGAGUAAUGUCUGGGAAACUGCCUGAUGGAGGGGGAUAACUACUGGAAACGGUAGCUAAUACCGCAUAACGUCGCAAGACCAAAGAGGGGGACCUUCGGGCCUCUUGCCAUCGGAUGUGCCCAGAUGGGAUUAGCUAGUAGGUGGGGUAACGGCUCACCUAGGCGACGAUCCCUAGCUGGUCUGAGAGGAUGACCAGCCACACUGGAACUGAGACACGGUCCAGACUCCUACGGGAGGCAGCAGUGGGGAAUAUUGCACAAUGGGCGCAAGCCUGAUGCAGCCAUGCCGCGUGUAUGAAGAAGGCCUUCGGGUUGUAAAGUACUUUCAGCGGGGAGGAAGGGAGUAAAGUUAAUACCUUUGCUCAUUGACGUUACCCGCAGAAGAAGCACCGGCUAACUCCGUGCCAGCAGCCGCGGUAAUACGGAGGGUGCAAGCGUUAAUCGGAAUUACUGGGCGUAAAGCGCACGCAGGCGGUUUGUUAAGUCAGAUGUGAAAUCCCCGGGCUCAACCUGGGAACUGCAUCUGAUACUGGCAAGCUUGAGUCUCGUAGAGGGGGGUAGAAUUCCAGGUGUAGCGGUGAAAUGCGUAGAGAUCUGGAGGAAUACCGGUGGCGAAGGCGGCCCCCUGGACGAAGACUGACGCUCAGGUGCGAAAGCGGGGGAGCAAACAGGAUUAGAUACCCUGGUAGUCCACGCCGUAAACGAUGUCGACUUGGAGGUUGUGCCCUUGAGGCGUGGCUUCCGGAGCUAACGCGUUAAGUC
Molecule: ribosomal RNA, 861 nt
Filed under: Escherichia coli O157:H7
Lineage: Bacteria; Pseudomonadati; Pseudomonadota; Gammaproteobacteria; Enterobacterales; Enterobacteriaceae
Description: bacterial SSU rRNA
Rfam family: Bacterial small subunit ribosomal RNA
Source: RNAcentral